Molecule: non-coding RNA, 87 nt
Organism: Methylocaldum sp.
Lineage: Bacteria; Pseudomonadati; Pseudomonadota; Gammaproteobacteria; Methylococcales; Methylococcaceae
Source: Rfam
ACCUAUGGCGGCUGGUGCGGGGCAGGCUUCGGCCUGGCCGGUUCCUUUUCGCCGGUAUUUCCUACCCCCGAACCAGUCGCCACCAAU